Molecule: long non-coding RNA, 253 nt
Filed under: Homo sapiens (human)
Lineage: Eukaryota; Metazoa; Chordata; Mammalia; Primates; Hominidae
Description: non-protein coding LINC01106:12
Source: RNAcentral
AUCUGUGAUGAGAUCGGGAAAGUGGGCUCAAGAGGUCUGGAUCUGUGGUGAGAUGGGGGAAGUGGGCUCAGGAGGUCUGGAUCUGUGAUGAGAUGGGGAAAGUGGGCUCAGGAGGUCUGGAUCUGUGAUGAGAUGGGGAAAGUGGGCUCAGGAGGUCUGGAUCUGGGGUGGGGAUCUGGAGUGGAAGGGGAAUUCAUUUGUUCAUUGUCUAUCCUUUUGUAUUGAUUGAAUUUUUUAUAUAUAUAUGUGAAUU